RNAcentral lists this ribosomal RNA (803 nucleotides) under Staphylococcus sp. RNAcentral's name for it is "bacterial SSU rRNA". It matches the Rfam family "Bacterial small subunit ribosomal RNA", at positions 364 to 1154 of the family's 1533-position model. The record is from RNAcentral. Lineage: Bacteria; Bacillati; Bacillota; Bacilli; Caryophanales; Staphylococcaceae.
UUCCGCAAUGGGCGAAAGCCUGACGGAGCAACGCCGCGUGAGUGAUGAAGGUCUUCGGAUCGUAAAACUCUGUUAUUAGGGAAGAACAAAUGUGUAAGUAACUAUGCACGUCUUGACGGUACCUAAUCAGAAAGCCACGGCUAACUACGUGCCAGCAGCCGCGGUAAUACGUAGGUGGCAAGCGUUAUCCGGAAUUAUUGGGCGUAAAGCGCGCGUAGGCGGUUUUUUAAGUCUGAUGUGAAAGCCCACGGCUCAACCGUGGAGGGUCAUUGGAAACUGGAAAACUUGAGUGCAGAAGAGGAAAGUGGAAUUCCAUGUGUAGCGGUGAAAUGCGCAGAGAUAUGGAGGAACACCAGUGGCGAAGGCGACUUUCUGGUCUGUAACUGACGCUGAUGUGCGAAAGCGUGGGGAUCAAACAGGAUUAGAUACCCUGGUAGUCCACGCCGUAAACGAUGAGUGCUAAGUGUUAAGGGGUUUCCGCCCCUUAGUGCUGCAGCUAACGCAUUAAGCACUCCGCCUGGGGAGUACGACCGCAAGGUUGAAACUCAAAGGAAUUGACGGGGACCCGCACAAGCGGUGGAGCAUGGUGGUUUAAUUCGAAGCAACGCGAAGAACCUUACCAAAUCUUGACAUCCUCUGACCCUCUAGAAGAUAGAGUUUUCCCCUUCGGGGGACAGAGUGACAGGUGGUGGCAUGGUUGUCGUCAGCUCGUGUCGUGAGAAGUUUGGGGUUAAGUCCCGCAACGAGCGCAACCCUUAAGCUUAGUUGCCAUCAUUAAGUUGGGCACUCUAAUUUGACUGCCG